RNAcentral lists this ribosomal RNA (403 nucleotides) under Fusobacteriota bacterium. Its description in RNAcentral is "Fusobacteria bacterium partial 16S ribosomal RNA". It matches the Rfam family "Bacterial small subunit ribosomal RNA", at positions 355 to 776 of the family's 1533-position model. Lineage: Bacteria; Fusobacteriati; Fusobacteriota. The record is from RNAcentral.
UGGGGAAUAUUGCACAAUGGAGGGAACUCUGCUGCAGCGACGCCGCGUGAACGCAGAAGGCUUUCGAGUCGUAAAGUUCUUUUAUAUGGGAAGAUAAUGACGGUACCAUAAGAAAAAGCCCCGGCUAACUACGUGCCAGCAGCCGCGGUAAUACGUAGGGGGCUAGCGUUGUCCGGAAUCACUGGGCGUAAAGGGUUCGCAGGCGGAAAUGCAAGUCAGGUGUAAAAGGCAGUAGCUUAACUACUGUAAGCAUUUGAAACUGCAUAUCUUGAGAAGAGUAGAGGGAAGUAGAAUUUUUAGUGUAGCGGUGAAAUGAGUAGAUAUUAAAAAGAAUAACGGAGGAGAAGGCGACUGACAGGGAUCAUUCUGACGCUGAGGAACGAAAGCGUGGGUAGCAAACAGG